Molecule: transfer RNA, 73 nt
Filed under: Rhipicephalus microplus (southern cattle tick)
Lineage: Eukaryota; Metazoa; Arthropoda; Arachnida; Ixodida; Ixodidae
Description: tRNA-Thr
Rfam family: tRNA
About the family: Transfer RNA (tRNA) molecules are approximately 80 nucleotides in length. Their secondary structure includes four short double-helical elements and three loops (D, anti-codon, and T loops). Further hydrogen bonds mediate the characteristic L-shaped molecular structure. tRNAs have two regions of fundamental functional importance: the anti-codon, which is responsible for specific mRNA codon recognition, and the 3' end, to which the tRNAs corresponding amino acid is attached (by aminoacyl-tRNA synthetases). tRNAs cope with the degeneracy of the genetic code in two manners: having more than one tRNA (with a specific anti-codon) for a particular amino acid; and 'wobble' base-pairing, i.e. permitting non-standard base-pairing at the 3rd anti-codon position.
Source: Rfam by way of RNAcentral
GCUGUAAUAGCUCAGUGGUUAGAGCAUCGAACUCGUAAUUCGAAGGUCGUAGGUUCGAUUCCUGCUUACAGUU